RNAcentral lists this long non-coding RNA (539 nucleotides) under Panax ginseng (ginseng). RNAcentral describes it as "long non-coding RNA (PGIN_LNC002397)". Lineage: Eukaryota; Viridiplantae; Streptophyta; Magnoliopsida; Apiales; Araliaceae. The record is from RNAcentral.
CAGUAUCUGCAUUGGUAGGCAAGCAUUAACAUAUAUCCCAAAAAAAUAAACAAAAAAAAGGUAUAGAUAAUAAAUUUGCAAAAAAACACUAAUUUAUCUGUCUUUUGUGUCUUGAAUUCAUAGAUUUGUGAUGUUUAGAUUUUAGAAACAUGUGACUAUCUUGGACUUAAUAUAACCGUGUGCACCUCAAAUCGUUAAAGUAGGAUCUCACUCUGAAAACAAUAGUAACAAAGAAACUAAGACAUUAUCCAGACUUCUCAUUAAAACCCUAGUGUUUGUAAGCUACCAUACCUCUGUAGUUUGCCAAAGACAUGUCAAGUAGAAUCCUCCACAUAUGUAGUCUAAGAUACCUUACAUGUACAAAUAGUUAUUUGAAACCAUGAGUUAUUGGAUAUAACUAUUAGUUCACAACUUAACACUCAAUUCCCAGUAAUUUAUAUGGUUCCCAAUCAGUGUUAGGUGACCAGAUAUUCCCUAGUUCGCUUCUGAAAGCCAGAGUGUCUCUAAGUGACUGUUGAACCAUAAAAGGUGUUAAUGUU